RNAcentral lists this ribosomal RNA (731 nucleotides) under uncultured Archaeospora. RNAcentral describes it as "LSU rRNA". It matches the Rfam family "Eukaryotic large subunit ribosomal RNA", at positions 47 to 695 of the family's 3401-position model. The record is from RNAcentral. Lineage: Eukaryota; Fungi; Glomeromycota; Glomeromycetes; Archaeosporales; Archaeosporaceae.
UAAGCGGAGGAAAAGAAACUAACAAUGAUUCCCUUAGUAACGGCGAGUGAAGGGGGAAAAGCUCAAAUUUUAAAUCGGCAUAGGUUUACCUAGUCGAGUUGUAAUUUGAAGAAGCGUUUACCUCAUCCAGGUCGGCCCAAAUCCUUUGGGAUAAGGUAUCAUGGAGGGUGAGAAUCCCGUCCGGUUGACCUCAGGAUGUUUUACGUUACGCUCUCUAAGAGUCGAGUUGUUUGGGAUUGCAGCUCAAAAUGGGAGGUAAAUUUCUCCUAAGGCUAAAUACAGGCGAGAGACCGAUAGCGAACAAGUACCGUGAGGGAAAGAUGAAAAGAACUUUGAAAAGAGAGUUAAACAGUACGUGAAAUUGUUGAAAGGGAAACGAUUGAAGUCAGUCAUGCCAGUGAGAAAUCAGCUUACAGGCUACUGUGAGUGCACUUUUCGCAUGGCAGGUCAAUAUUAGUUUUGUUGGGACAUAAUUAUUGUAGAAAGGUGACUCCUUCGGGAGUUGUUAUAGACUACUUUAGAUGGCCUGACAUAGACUAAGGAUUGCAGGCGAAUGCCUUUAGGCUACAGUUCUUUCUCUGUAAGUCGUUAAUUGGUUGUCAGCUUGCUGACUUCUAGUUAAUUGGCAGACAGUAAGGUAGAAUUGAUAAAUUCGCUAAGGAUGUUGACGUAAUGGCUUAAACGACCGUCUUGAACACGGACCAAGGAGUCUAACAUAUGUGCGAGUGUUU